Long non-coding RNA from Mus spicilegus (steppe mouse), 615 nucleotides. NCBI's taxonomy places the organism in Eukaryota, Metazoa, Chordata, Mammalia, Rodentia, Muridae. The record is from Ensembl.
GUUCCACCUUGCCUGUGAAGAGCAACCAGCCUCCAGCCCAGUCUCCACCAUUGUUUGCUGUGGGAGUCAUCUUGGGUGGAAUAAAUUUCAUUUGGAUGUGGAAGCUUUCUCCAGGUCACAGGAGUCCAAGAAAGGCAGUGCCAGCAGCCCACUGGAUAUAUGAAGACCCUCCUGCCCCGCAGAAAAGGAUAGACACAGACUAAGACACUGAGAACUUUGGAAGCCUCUGUCAACCCUGCUUUUCCAUGAGAUAUUUUUAAAGGAGAGGUAAUUAAGUUUUUAUGUAUUAUUGGCAUCCAAGCUGAAGUUGACAGACACCAGAUAUCUUUCUGACUCUACUAGCAAAAUCAAGAAGGCCAUUUCCCACCCUUUCCUCCUGCUCAUAAGUAUGAGUAUGUUUGGCUGACUGCUAAUUUCAGAGCCCUGGAAGCAAAUACUAUUUAUAAUUCUCCUUUUAUUGUCUGCCUUCCCAUUUGGAUCAAAACUAACUAAGGCAAGACAAGCCGCAUUUAUUUGUGUCAAUGCUGUAUCCCUGGCAGAUCAAAAUUGUUCAAAGUGAAUGAUCCCCCUGGAAAGCUGAAUAAACCAUAUUAGUUGCUACUUAGAGAAGAGGUG